Molecule: ribosomal RNA, 382 nt
Filed under: uncultured bacterium
Lineage: Bacteria
Description: bacterial SSU rRNA
Rfam family: Bacterial small subunit ribosomal RNA
Source: RNAcentral
AUUGAACGCUGGCGGCAUGCCUUACACAUGCAAGUCGAACGGCAGCACGGGGGCAACCCUGGUGGCGAGUGGCGAACGGGUGAGUAACAUAUCGGAACAUACCCUAGAGUGGGGAUAACGUAGCGAAAGUUACGCUAAUACCGCAUACGAUCUAAGGAUGAAAGUGGGGGAUCUUCGGACCUCAUGCUCAUGGAGUGGCCGAUAUCUGAUUAGCUAGUUGGUGAGGUAAAGGCUCACCAAGGCGACGAUCAGUAGCUGGUUUGAGAGAACGACCAGCCACACUGGAACUGGGACACGGUCCAGACUCCUACGGGAGGCAGCAGUGGGAAUUUUGGACAAUGGGGGCAAGCCUGAUCCAGCAAUGCCGCGUGAGUGAAGAAGG